Non-coding RNA from Odocoileus virginianus texanus, 474 nucleotides. The record is from RefSeq and is a predicted model, not a curated record. NCBI's taxonomy places the organism in Eukaryota, Metazoa, Chordata, Mammalia, Artiodactyla, Cervidae.
CUCCCGCGCCCACGGCCUUGUCCAGGCAAGAACACUGCAGUGGGUUGGGAUUUCCUUCUCCAGCCCAGUUGUAGAGCUUAGGACAAAUCGCAGGUGGCGGAUUCUGAGGCUGGACCACGAAUGACUGUAUUUUCAGUACGUUUUUUAAUCCUGUGCAAAGAACAAAGCCACUGAAACAGCCGUGGAGCGCAGUGCUCAGCAAAAACGAAUCAGCCUCCCUGACUUCAGACUAUAUAUAGCACAAAGUAACAGUAAACAAGACAGUAUGGUCACUGACUUGUCAUGGCGAAGGGGCUUGCCUAACCCAAUGAAGCUAUGAACUAUGCCGUGUAGGGCCACCCAAGAUGAAUGGAUCAUAGUGGAGAGUUCUGACAAGACAUGAUCCACUGGAGGAGGGAACGGCAAACUACCCCAGUUUACUUGCUAUCAGAACCUCAUGAACUGUAUAAAAGGACAAUGUCAAUUAUACCUCAA